GCCAGUGUGACGUAGUGGGUUUCCGUAUUGGACUAUGACUCUGUAGACCAGGGUUCGAUUCCCAGCUUGGCCA
Non-coding RNA from Phrynosoma platyrhinos (Desert horned lizard), 73 nucleotides. NCBI's taxonomy places the organism in Eukaryota, Metazoa, Chordata, Lepidosauria, Squamata, Phrynosomatidae. The record is from the annotation of a GenBank genome assembly.